Molecule: ribosomal RNA, 449 nt
Filed under: uncultured bacterium
Lineage: Bacteria
Description: bacterial SSU rRNA
Rfam family: Bacterial small subunit ribosomal RNA
Source: RNAcentral
CGCCAGACUCCUACGGGAGGCAGCAGUGGGGAAUAUUGCACAAUGGGGGAAACCCUGAUGCAGCGACGCCGCGUGAGUGAAGAAGUAUUUCGGUACGUAAAGCUCUAUCAGCAGGGAAGAAAAUGACGGUACCUGAUUAAGAAGCCCCGGCUAACUACGUGCCAGCAGCCGCGGUAAUACGUAGGGGGCAAGCGUUAUCCGGAUUUACUGGGUGUAAAGGGAGCGUAGACGGCGCGGCAAGUCUGAAGUGAAGGGCAGGGGCUUAACCCCUGAACUGCUUUGGAAACUGCCAUGCUAGAGUGCUGGAGAGGUAAGUGGAAUUCCUAGUGUAGCGGUGAAAUGCGUAGAUAUUAGGAGGAACACCAGUGGCGGAGGCGGCUUACUGGACAGUAACUGACGUUGAGGCUCGAAAGCGUGGGGAGCAAACAGGAUUAGAUACCCCAGUAAAG